RNAcentral lists this transfer RNA (85 nucleotides) under bovine gut metagenome. It matches the Rfam family "tRNA". From Rfam's summary of the family: Transfer RNA (tRNA) molecules are approximately 80 nucleotides in length. Their secondary structure includes four short double-helical elements and three loops (D, anti-codon, and T loops). The record is from RNAcentral.
GAGGGGUGGCAGAGUGGUUGAAUGCGGCGGUCUCGAAAACCGUUUGGCCCUUUCGGGUCACGAGGGUUCGAAUCCCUCCUCCUCC